Molecule: long non-coding RNA, 1469 nt
Organism: Gymnodraco acuticeps
Lineage: Eukaryota; Metazoa; Chordata; Actinopteri; Perciformes; Bathydraconidae
Exons: 2
Source: RefSeq, a predicted model, not a curated record
CUUCUGCAGAAAUGCAAUGUCCUCCGCCGUGUUUCACUCAGCAAUGGCCACCACUGUGUUACCGGCCUUGAAGGUGUCACAUUGCUCCUGCUGGGUUGCCUGAAGGGGACAGAGAGGUUGAGCCAAUGACAUGGGUUCCUUAGGUUGUAGUAUCGAUUGCCAGCUGAAUCUGAGUCUCAUGGCACUGCUUAGUUUGAGCAGUAUCAUGCGAGCCAUUGUAACGGAAAAGUCCGGAGUUGACUAAAAUGAUGUGAAACUAGAUGUAAUGAGUCAAAUUGUGAGUGUAUUUUUAUGUUUGUGAGUGUGUGUGUGUGUGUGUGUGUGUGUGUAUUAAUAGCAAUAACCUUUGUACUGUAUCUGCACUGAGACUCAGCUGUUGCAGCAGUCUGUCUCUGUCAAUCAGAAAAUGGUAACACACACACACACAGUCCACAUUUGUAAUCCUUAUUCUCCUUUCUCUCAGGUAUUACCCACUUUAAUCAAAUGUCUUGAUAUUACCCAAUUUUUAUCAACAACCACAUAGUAAUAUUUUAUCCACCGAGCUCCUUCAGAAAACAAGUUGACUUAUAGGCCCAUCCUGGUUCCACCAAAAUCAGCAAGUAUAUGCUAGUUUUUCAAAGACGGGAAAAUGGUGUUCAACGUCGUGGACACACAGGGUUAGUAAAAAGAAGAAAGCACUUUACUUUCUUUUAUGUAACUAUUUAUGUCUUUCUAUCAAACUCCUACAAACAAUAAAAUACUAACUAAUACAUAUAAAUGAGUUUCAUUAUGUUUUAUGUCAUGUAUAAUUUGAAAUCAGGUUGGUUUUGUGAAUGUUAAGCAUUUAAAUACAUUUGAAUUGUCCAAAUCCCUGCAGAAAUUAAUAGCAUUAUACAGCGGGUGAAAAUUAGCAUUUCCAAUGGGUGUUAUAUUUCCAUCUCUGCCAAUCGCAGCUGGAGCCGAUGAACACCAUGAACUGCAGAGUAAUUUGUCCUGGGAAUUUUAACAUUUCACAAAGCCAGAUGUUAGGUGGUGUUAUUGGAUGUUUUACGUUUAAAAACAGUGUUAUAGCAAAUGCAUUUUCUUGCCUGCCUAAAGUAUCUGGAGGGGUGCAUUGUGUCAUGUCCCAUCUUGGUGGAACACUUGUCAUUGGUUGAUAUUUCCACUGAAAAAAAUUAAAAUGUUACGACCGCUUAAGUGUCAUAUAAAAUAAGGUAAGUUCCUCUAAUUUGAAGCACUACCCCUUAAUAUCUUUCUUCUCUCCCCUGCUGUACUUUGUAUUUCUGAAUUGUCUGAGCUGAACCGUCCUGUCAAUCUGUUCUCUUCAACACCUCUCUGUCAUCAGUCCAGAAAUACAGGUUGACCUGAUAAGUGUUAAAUGUCUCCCAUGUCUUUUUCCAACUGCGUGCCAUGUUUAAACCUUCUAAUUCAGUUACAGACAGCAUUUGUUACAUCACAUCUGAGUAAUAAAUACCAGGAAUUCACAGUAA